UGCAGUCGAGGGGUAUAAGUAGCAAUACUUAGAGACCGGCGCACGGGUGAGUAACGCGUAUGCAACCUGCCCUUUACUGGAGGAUAGCCCGUAGAAAUGCGGAUUAAUACCCCAUAGUAAUAUUGGAUCGCAUGAUUUGAUAUUUAAAGUUUCGGCGGUAAAGGAUGGGCAUGCGUGACAUUAGCUAGUUGGUAAGGUAACGGCUUACCAAGGCUUCGAUGUCUAGGGGUUCUGAGAGGAAGAUCCCCCACACUGGUACUGAGACACGGACCAGACUCCUACGGGAGGCAGCAGUGAGGAAUAUUGGUCAAUGGGCGAGAGCCUGAACCAGCCAUCCCGCGUGCAGGAAGAAUGCCCUAUGGGUUGUAAACUGCUUUUUCGCAUGAAGAACACCCCUGACGUGUCAGGGGCUGACGGUAAUGCGUGAAUAAGCACCGGCUAACUCCGUGCCAGCAGCCGCGGUAAUACGGAGGGUGCAAGCGUUAUCCGGAUUUAUUGGGUUUAAAGGGUGCGUAGGCGGCUAUUUAAGUCAGUGGUGAAAUCCUGCAGCUUAACUGUAGAACAGCCAUUGAAACUGAAUAGCUUGAGUGAUCUUGAGGUAGGCGGAAUGUGUAGUGUAGCGGUGAAAUGCUUAGAUAUUACACAGAACACCGAUUGCGAAGGCAGCUUACUAAGGAUUUACUGACGCUGAUGCACGAAAGCGUGGGGAUCAAACAGGAUUAGAUACCCUGGUAGAAUCACUAGUGAAUUC
RNAcentral lists this ribosomal RNA (751 nucleotides) under uncultured bacterium. RNAcentral's name for it is "bacterial SSU rRNA". It matches the Rfam family "Bacterial small subunit ribosomal RNA", at positions 56 to 809 of the family's 1533-position model. The record is from RNAcentral.